This 57-nucleotide transfer RNA is filed under the name Ovis aries (sheep). Lineage: Eukaryota; Metazoa; Chordata; Mammalia; Artiodactyla; Bovidae. The record is from Rfam by way of RNAcentral.
UGGCUCACACGGUAAAGCGUCUGUCUGCAAUGCAGGAGACCCGGGUUCGAUCCCUGG